GCAAAUCAUAUGUAUCUAGUGGCGAAAAAGGACAGACUAUCAAGUUUGCAGAAACUCUGGCACUGGAUCAACAUUGUUUUCUUUAGCAUAGCAUCUGUGGCAGCAACAGUUGCAGCACUACGGCUUAUUUCUGUAGACUCCAAAACAUACCAUAUUUUUGCAGAUAUUUGAUGAAACUCAUUAUAUUAUUUCAGCAAUUGUAAUGCGACAUUUACAUGUUUUGAAUGCUCUCAUUGUUAGAAAAAUAACAAUAAAGAUAGGAUUUCCUCGCAGAAGAUUGUAUUUUGUUGAGUAGUCUACUCUUAGUCAAUAUUAGACAUUUAUAUCAUCAAAUACACAGUUUUGGCACUAAUUAAGCAAUGUACUAUGCGCCAUAUUGUUUAUGAGGGUUAGUUACAUGAUCGGAUUCUGUUGGUCAAGUAAGCAAGCAAGAUGCGCCAAAAAAUAAUGUGAAAAUUAUAGUAAGAAAAACGUGAAAAGAUCAUUAAUUAAUUAUUCAAUAUAAAUACAACACUCACUGACACACGCACGCGCUCACACACACUAUAGAGCUUUUGCAAGAGUACAGGACCCCUGAAGUAAACUGCACAAACAAACCAAUUUCAUGCUUCCAUUUCUAGGGAAAUUAAGUGAGUCAUUAUCAAACUGAGUUAAACUUAAACCAAAAAUCUCUCACUCACAAGUUAAAAUUUAUAGUCAAUCAUGUUAUAAAAUGGUUAUUAUUGGAUUAUAAUUAAUAAUUAAAGUUCAACAAAAAUAUGAAUGCAUCAGCUAAAAACUGAUGAAUAUAUUUCAACUUUAUGCUUAUUUCAAUUUUCAAGCAUACAAUACAAUAAUGUAGAAAUAAAGUAAGAAAAAAGGGGGGAAAUUGAAUUGAUGAAAGUAUUAUUGUAGGGUAAGUUAGGUACCUGAUAACGGAACGGCGUCGUCGGUGGUGUGAACGUAGAGCGGAGGGAGGGAUGACCCACAAAUGAGAUAACGAUGAUGAUGAUGCCGCCGAAUCAGAAGGAAGAAUAUUAUUCAUCACCUAAUCUCUAUCUAUCAUUUUUUGGAUUCAUUGGUCAACUCAUCUCAGAACAACGCACAGUUUUGCGCUUUUCUUUAACUAAACCCAGCCAAAUCACC
RNAcentral lists this long non-coding RNA (1125 nucleotides) under Trifolium pratense (red clover). RNAcentral describes it as "long non-coding RNA (TPRA_LNC003584)". The record is from RNAcentral. Lineage: Eukaryota; Viridiplantae; Streptophyta; Magnoliopsida; Fabales; Fabaceae.